AGCGUUGUUCGGAAUUACUGGGCGUAAAGCGCACGUAGGCGGAUAUUUAAGUUAGGGGUGAAAUCCCGGGGCUCAACCCCGGAACUGCCUCUAAUACUGGGUAUCUCGAGUUCGAGAGAGGUAAGUGGAAUUCCGAGUGUAG
This 142-nucleotide ribosomal RNA is filed under the name uncultured Alphaproteobacteria bacterium. RNAcentral's name for it is "partial 16S ribosomal RNA". It matches the Rfam family "Bacterial small subunit ribosomal RNA", at positions 537 to 678 of the family's 1533-position model. Lineage: Bacteria; Pseudomonadati; Pseudomonadota; Alphaproteobacteria. The record is from RNAcentral.